This 467-nucleotide ribosomal RNA is filed under the name uncultured bacterium. RNAcentral's name for it is "partial 16S ribosomal RNA". It matches the Rfam family "Bacterial small subunit ribosomal RNA", at positions 28 to 507 of the family's 1533-position model. The record is from RNAcentral.
GACGAACGCUGGCGGCGUGCUUAACACAUGCGAGUCGAACGGAAAGGCCCUGCUUUUGUGGGGUGCUCGAGUGGCGAACGGGUGAGUAACACGUGAGUAACCUGCCCUUGACUUUGGGAUAACUUCAGGAAACUGGGGCUAAUACCGGAUAGGAGCUCCUGCUGCAUGGUGGGGGUUGGAAAGUUUCGGCGGUUGGGAUGGACUCGCGGCUUAUCAGCUUGUUGGUGGGGUAGUGGCUUACCAAGGCUUUGACGGGUAGCCGGCCUGAGAGGGUGACCGGCCACAUUGGGACUGAGAUACGGCCCAGACUCCUACGGGAGGCAGCAGUGGGGAAUAUUGCACAAUGGGCGGAAGCCUGAUGCAGCAACGCCGCGUGCGGGAUGACGGCCUUCGGGUUGUAAACCGCUUUCGCCUGUGACGAAGCGUGAGUGACGGUAAUGGGUAAAGAAGCACCGGCUAACUACGUG